UGGGGAAUAUUGGGCAAUGGGCGCAAGCCUGACCCAGCGACGCCGCGUGGGUGAUGAAGGCCUUCGGGUUGUAAAGCCCUGUCAUGCGGAAAGAACAGUCCCGUAACGAAUAGUUGCGGGAUUUGACGGUACCGCAGGAGGAAGCACCGGCUAACUCCGUGCCAGCAGCCGCGGUAAUACGGAGGGUGCAAGCGUUGUUCGGAAUUAUUGGGCGUAAAGGGCGCGUAGGCGGUAAUGAAAGUCAGAUGUGAAAUACUUCAGCUCAACUGAAGAACUGCAUCUGAAACUUCAUAACUAGAGUACGGAAGAGGGAAAUGGAAUUCCCGGUGUAGAGGUGAAAUUCGUAGAUAUCGGGAGGAACACCAGUGGCGAAGGCGAUUUCCUGGUCUGGUACUGACGCUGAGGCGCGAAAGUGUGGGGAGCAAACAG
Molecule: ribosomal RNA, 429 nt
Filed under: uncultured bacterium
Lineage: Bacteria
Description: bacterial SSU rRNA
Rfam family: Bacterial small subunit ribosomal RNA
Source: RNAcentral